Molecule: ribosomal RNA, 253 nt
Filed under: uncultured bacterium
Lineage: Bacteria
Description: partial 16S ribosomal RNA
Rfam family: Bacterial small subunit ribosomal RNA
Source: RNAcentral
UACGUAGGGUGCGAGCGUUGUCCGGAAUUAUUGGGCGUAAAGGGCUCGUAGGCGGUUUGUCGCGUCGGGAGUGAAAACCCAGGGCUUAACCCUGGGCUGGCUUUCGAUACGGGCAGACUAGAGGUAUGCAGGGGAGAACGGAAUUCCUGGUGUAGCGGUGGAAUGCGCAGAUAUCAGGAGGAACACCGAUGGCGAAGGCAGGUCUCUGGGCCACUACUGACGCUGAGAAGCGAAAGCAUGGGGAGCGAACAGG